UACGAAGGGGGCUAGCGUUGUUCGGAAUUACUGGGCGUAAAGGGCGCGUAGGCGGUGCUUUAAGUCAGGCGUGAAAGCCCCGGGCUCAACCUGGGAACUGCGCUUGAUACUGCGGCGCUUGAGGACGGGAGAGGAUGGCGGAAUUCCCAGUGUAGAGGUGAAAUUCGUAGAUAUUGGGAAGAACACCGGUGGCGAAGGCGGCGAUCUGGCCCGUUAUUGACGCUGAGGCGCGAAAGCGUGGGGAGCAAACAGG
Molecule: ribosomal RNA, 253 nt
Filed under: uncultured bacterium
Lineage: Bacteria
Description: partial 16S ribosomal RNA
Rfam family: Bacterial small subunit ribosomal RNA
Source: RNAcentral